CAGUCGCCACGGGAAUACCAGCAGCCCAAGUGGUGGUCGCGAUUAUUGGGCCUAAAGCGCUCGUAGCCGGGCCGGUAAGUCCCUUGUGAAAUCGGACGGCCUAACCGUUCGGCGUGCAAGGGAUACUGUCGGUCUUGAGGCCGGGAGACGUCCGAGGUACUCCGGGGGUAGCGGUGAAAUGUUCUGAUCCUCGGGGGACCACCGGUGGCGAAGGCGUUCGACGAGAACGGGCCUGACGGUGAGGGGCGAAGGCUAGGGGAGCAAACGGGAUUAGAUACCCCCGUAGUCCCUGUCUCUUAUU
Molecule: ribosomal RNA, 301 nt
Filed under: uncultured bacterium
Lineage: Bacteria
Description: partial 16S ribosomal RNA
Rfam family: Archaeal small subunit ribosomal RNA
Source: RNAcentral